GAUGAACGCUAGCUACAGGCUUAACACAUGCAAGUCGAGGGGAAACGAUAGAGAAAGCUUGCUUUUUCUAGGCGUCGACCGGCGCACGGGUGAGUAACGCGCAUCCAACCUGCCCAUCACUUGGGGAUAACCUUGCGAAAGUAAGACUAAUACCCAAUGAUAUCUCUAGAAGACAUCUGAAGGAGAUUAAAGAUUUAUCGGUGAUGGAUGGGGAUGCGUCUGAUUAGCUUGUUGGCGGGGUAACGGCCCACCAAGGCUACGAUCAGUAGGGGUUCUGAGAGGAAGGUCCCCCACAUUGGAACUGAGACACGGUCCAAACUCCUACGGGAGGCAGCAGUGAGGAAUAUUGGUCAAUGGACGGGAGUUUGAGCCAGCCAAGUAGCGUGCAGGAUGACGGCCCUAUGGGUUGUAAACUGCUUUUAUAAGGGAAUAAAGUGAGUCUCGUGAGACUUUUUGCAUGUACCUUAUGAAUAAGGACCGGCUAAUUCCGUGCCAGCAGCCGCCGUAA
Molecule: ribosomal RNA, 508 nt
Filed under: uncultured bacterium
Lineage: Bacteria
Description: partial 16S ribosomal RNA
Rfam family: Bacterial small subunit ribosomal RNA
Source: RNAcentral